AUACGGAGGAUCCGAGCGUUAUCCGGAUUUAUUGGGUUUAAAGGGUGCGCAGGCGGGAGAUUAAGUCGGCGGUGAAAUUUUGCAGCUCAACUGUAAAAGUGCCUUCGAAACUGGUUUCCUCGAGUGUAGAUGAAGUAGGCGGAAUUUGUGGUGUUGCGGUGAAAUGCAUAGAUAUCACGAGGAACUCCGAUUGCGCAGGCAGCUUACUAAACUACUACUGACGCUCAGGCACGAAGGCGUGGGGAUCAAACAGGAUUAGAUACCCUGGUAGUCCACGCAGUAAACGAUGAUUACUAGCUGUUUGCGAUACAAUGUAAGCGGCUGAGCGAAAGCGUUAAGUAAUCCACCUGGGGAGUACGUUCGCAAGAAUGAAACUCAAAGGAAUUGACGGGG
RNAcentral lists this ribosomal RNA (393 nucleotides) under uncultured bacterium. RNAcentral describes it as "partial 16S ribosomal RNA". It matches the Rfam family "Bacterial small subunit ribosomal RNA", at positions 523 to 918 of the family's 1533-position model. The record is from RNAcentral.